Molecule: ribosomal RNA, 254 nt
Filed under: uncultured bacterium
Lineage: Bacteria
Description: partial 16S ribosomal RNA
Rfam family: Bacterial small subunit ribosomal RNA
Source: RNAcentral
GACGUAGGGUCCAAGCGUUGUCCGGAUUUACUGGGCGUAAAGGGCGCGUAGGCGGCCACCGCAAGUCAAUUGUGAAAUCUCCGGGCUUAACUCGGAAAGGUCAACUGAUACUGCGGGGCUAGAGUGCGGAAGGGGCAACUGGAAUUCUCGGUGUAGCGGUGAAAUGCGUAGAUAUUGGGAGGAACACCAGUGGCGAAGGCGGCUCGCUGGACCGGUUCUGACGCUGAGGCGCGAAAGCCAGGGGAGCAAACGGG